CAGUCAUGCUAGCGCGGAAUCAACUUGGUGAUUUUCCUCCUCGUGUACUUCCUCGCUCGGCAGGUUAGCAUCAAUUUCGGUUGUCAUCGAAUAAUUGGGGGAAUGUGUCUUUCCUCGGAAAGUGUUUAUAGACCCUGGUUGAUGUGGCGAUCGGGAUUGAGGAUUGCAGCGGAUGCCUUUAGGCUAGUCACCUGCCUCCUGAC
This 203-nucleotide ribosomal RNA is filed under the name uncultured Glomeromycotina. RNAcentral describes it as "partial large subunit ribosomal RNA". The record is from RNAcentral. Lineage: Eukaryota; Fungi; Glomeromycota.